RNAcentral lists this transfer RNA (72 nucleotides) under Ovis aries (sheep). It matches the Rfam family "tRNA". Rfam says of the family: Transfer RNA (tRNA) molecules are approximately 80 nucleotides in length. Their secondary structure includes four short double-helical elements and three loops (D, anti-codon, and T loops). Further hydrogen bonds mediate the characteristic L-shaped molecular structure. tRNAs have two regions of fundamental functional importance: the anti-codon, which is responsible for specific mRNA codon recognition, and the 3' end, to which the tRNAs corresponding amino acid is attached (by aminoacyl-tRNA synthetases). tRNAs cope with the degeneracy of the genetic code in two manners: having more than one tRNA (with a specific anti-codon) for a particular amino acid; and 'wobble' base-pairing, i.e. permitting non-standard base-pairing at the 3rd anti-codon position. Lineage: Eukaryota; Metazoa; Chordata; Mammalia; Artiodactyla; Bovidae. The record is from Rfam by way of RNAcentral.
CCCCUGGUGGCUCAGACGGUAAAGCGUCUGCCUGCAAUGCAGGAGACCCGGGUUCGAUUCCUGGGUUGGGAA